CGCGGCCUAUCAGCUUGUUGGUGGGGUGAUGGCCUACCAUGGCUUCGACGGGUAGCUGGUCUGAGAGGACGAUCAGCCACACUGGGACUGAGACACGGCCCAGACUCCUACGGGAGGCAGCAGUGGGGAAUCUUGCGCAAUGGGCGGAAGCCUGACGCAGCAACGCCGCGUGCGGGAUGACGGCUUUCGGGUUGUAAACCGCUUUCAGUGGGGACGAUGUUGACGGUACCCACAGAAGAAGCCCCGGCCAACUACGUGCCAGCAGCCGCGGUAACACGUAGGGGGCGAGCGUUGUCCGGAUUUAUUGGGCGUAAAGAGCUCGUAGGCGGCUCGGUAAGUCGGGUGUGAAAUCCUCAGGCUCAACCUGGGGUGGCCAUUCGAUACUGCUGUGGCUUGAGUCCAGUAGGGGAGUGUGGAAUUCCCGGUGUAGCGGUGAAAUGCGCAGAUAUCGGGAGGAACACCGGCGGCGAAGGCGGCACUCUGGGCUGGUACUGACGCUGAGGAGCGAAAGCGUGGGUAGCGAACAGGAUUAGAUACCCUGGUAGUCCACGCCGUAAACGUUGGGCACUAGGUGUGGGGCCUUCUUCAACAGGGUUCCGUGCCGUAGCUAACGCAUUAAGUGCCCCGCCUGGGGAGUACGG
This 641-nucleotide ribosomal RNA is filed under the name uncultured Actinomycetes bacterium. RNAcentral's name for it is "bacterial SSU rRNA". It matches the Rfam family "Bacterial small subunit ribosomal RNA", at positions 232 to 885 of the family's 1533-position model. The record is from RNAcentral. Lineage: Bacteria; Bacillati; Actinomycetota; Actinomycetes.